Molecule: unclassified non-coding RNA, 263 nt
Filed under: Hevea brasiliensis (rubber tree)
Lineage: Eukaryota; Viridiplantae; Streptophyta; Magnoliopsida; Malpighiales; Euphorbiaceae
Source: RNAcentral
CGAAUACAGAACAAUAUGACGGUCUCUAGUGGUUUCACGGACUGACAAAGAGAUCGUUUGAACUAGAUUACUGAGAACAUAACUGAGAGAACAAAUCUCUGGACCCAAUGGCUAAAUGAAAAUGCAUAUCCCAAGGCUAUUUCCAGUAUCUCACUCCUCAAAAGACUGACAAGAUCAUUCAUCUGCAGCUCAAUUUGUUUUAAUCUUUGUAUAGUGAAGACAAGGGUGGAGCCACAGGUGUCUACUAGUUCUGCAGAUCCCGG